UACGUAGGGUGCGAGCGUUAAUCGGAAUUACUGGGCGUAAAGCGUGCGCAGGCGGUUCGUUAAGUCAGCUGUGAAAGCCCCGGGCUUAACCUGGGAAUGGCGGUUGAAACUGGCGAACGUGAAUCUGGCAGAGGGGGGUGGAAUUCCACGUGUAGCAGUGAAAUGCGUAGAGAUGUGGAGGAACACCGAUGGCGAAGGCAGCCCCCUGGGCUGAGAUUGACGCUCAGGCACGAAAGCGUGGGGAGCAAACAGG
Molecule: ribosomal RNA, 253 nt
Filed under: uncultured bacterium
Lineage: Bacteria
Description: partial 16S ribosomal RNA
Rfam family: Bacterial small subunit ribosomal RNA
Source: RNAcentral